RNAcentral lists this ribosomal RNA (332 nucleotides) under uncultured bacterium. RNAcentral describes it as "bacterial SSU rRNA". It matches the Rfam family "Bacterial small subunit ribosomal RNA", at positions 28 to 361 of the family's 1533-position model. The record is from RNAcentral.
GACGAACGCUGGCGGCGUGCUUAACACAUGCAAGUCGAGCGGUAAGGCCCUUUCGGGGGUACACGAGCGGCGAACGGGUGAGUAACACGUGGGUGACCUGCCCUCAGCUCUGGGAUAAGCCCGGGAAACUGGGUCUAAUACCGGAUAUGACUCCACGGUGCAUGUCGUGGGGUGGAAAGCCUUGUGCGGCUGAGGAUGGGGCCCGCGGCCUAUCAGCUUGUUGGUGGGGUGAUGGCCUACCAAGGCGACGACGGGUAGCCGGCCUGAGAGGCGACCAGCCACACUGGGACUGAGACACGGCCCAGACUCCUACGGGAGGCAGCAGUGGGGAA